AUGAACGCUGGCGGCGUGUCUAAGGCAUGCAAGUCGAACGCCUGUAGCAAUACAGGAGUGGCAAACGGGUGCGUAACACAUUGGUAACCUACCUUGAGGUCGUGAACAACCUUCGGAAACGAAGGCUAAUACACGAUGGCCAGGAGAGAUCGCGAGAUCUUUCCUGUAAAGCUUCGGCGCCUCAAGAGGGGCCUAUGCCCUAUCAGCUAGUUGGUGAGGUAAUGGCUCACCAAGGCUUUGACGGGUAGGGGGCGUAAGAGCGCGACCCCCCUCACUGGGACUGAGACACUGCCCAGACACCUACGGGUGGCUGCAGUCGAGAAUAUUCCUCAAUGCACGAAAGUGUGAAGGAGCGACGCCGCGUGCCAGAUGAAGCCCUUCGGGGUGUAAAUGGCUUUUUUCAGGGAAGAAAUCUGACGGUACCUGAAGAAUAAGUGGUUGCUAACUCUGU
This 451-nucleotide ribosomal RNA is filed under the name uncultured bacterium. Its description in RNAcentral is "bacterial SSU rRNA". It matches the Rfam family "Bacterial small subunit ribosomal RNA", at positions 29 to 506 of the family's 1533-position model. The record is from RNAcentral.